This 440-nucleotide ribosomal RNA is filed under the name uncultured bacterium. RNAcentral's name for it is "partial 16S ribosomal RNA". It matches the Rfam family "Bacterial small subunit ribosomal RNA", at positions 338 to 795 of the family's 1533-position model. The record is from RNAcentral.
CCUAGGGAGGCAGAAGUGGGGAAGAGUGCACAAGGGGGGAAACCCGGAGGCAGCAACGGCGCGGGAAGGAAGACGGGUUUCGGAGUGUAAACGUCUGUUCUGAGGGAAGAAGAAUGACGGUAGCUAAGGAGCAAGCCACGGCUAACUACGUGCCAGCAGCCGCGGUAAUACGUAGGUGGCAAGCGUUGUCCGGAAUUACUGGGUGUAAAGGGAGCGCAGGCGGGAAGCCCAGUCAGCUGUGAAAACUACGGGCUUAACUUGUAGACUGCAGUUGAAACUGGUUUUCUUGAGUGAAGUAGCGGUUGGCGGACUUCCGAUUGUAGCGGUGAACUGCGUAGAUAUUCGGAGGAACACCUGUGGCGAAGGCGGCCCACUGGGCUUUAACUGACGCUGAGGCUCGCAAGUGUGGGGAGCAAACAGGAUUCGAUACCCCAGUAGUC